GUACGUAGGUGGCAAGCGUUGUCCGGAAUUACUGGGUGUAAAGGGCGUGUAGGCGGAGCGGCAAGUCAGAAGUGAAAUCUCCGGGCUUAACCCGGAAACUGCUUUUGAAACUGUCGCCCUUGAGUAUCGGAGAGGCAGGCGGAAUUCCUAGUGUAGCGGGGAAAUGCGUAGAUAUUAGGAGGAACACCAGUGGCGAAGGGGGCCUGCUGGACGACAACUGACGCUGAGGCGCGAAAGCGUGGGGAGCAAACAGGAUUAGAUACCCUGGUAGUCCACGCCGUAAACGAUGGAUACUAGGUGUGGGGGGACUGACCCCUCCGUGCCGCAGUCAACACAAUAAGUAUCCCACCUGGGGAGUACGAUCGCAAGAUUGAAACUCAAAUGAAUUGACGGGG
RNAcentral lists this ribosomal RNA (395 nucleotides) under uncultured bacterium. RNAcentral describes it as "partial 16S ribosomal RNA". It matches the Rfam family "Bacterial small subunit ribosomal RNA", at positions 523 to 918 of the family's 1533-position model. The record is from RNAcentral.